This 425-nucleotide ribosomal RNA is filed under the name uncultured bacterium. RNAcentral describes it as "bacterial SSU rRNA". It matches the Rfam family "Bacterial small subunit ribosomal RNA", at positions 359 to 776 of the family's 1533-position model. The record is from RNAcentral.
GAAUAUUGGACAAUGGGCGAAAGCCUGAUCCAGCGACGCCGCGUGUGUGAAGAAGGCCUGCGGGUUGUAAAGCACUUUCGAUGGGAACGAAAUGUGCCGGGCUAAUACCCCGGCAAGCUGACGUUACUCAAUGAAGAAGCACCGGCUAACUCUGUGCCAGCAGCCGCGGUAAUACAGAGGGUGCGGGCGUUAAUCGGAAUUACUGGGCGUAAAGCGCGCGUAGGUGGUUCAGUAAGUUGGAUGUGAAAUCCCCGGGCUCAACCUGGGAACUGCAUCCAAAGCUGCUGAGCUAGAGUACGGUAGAGGGUAGUGGAAUUUCCUGUGUAGCGGUGAAAUGCGUAGAUAUAGGAAGGAACACCAGUGGCGAAGGCGACUACCUGGACUGAUACUGACACUGAGGUGCGAAAGCGUGGGGAGCAAACAGG